Molecule: small nuclear RNA, 191 nt
Organism: Rhinolophus ferrumequinum (greater horseshoe bat)
Lineage: Eukaryota; Metazoa; Chordata; Mammalia; Chiroptera; Rhinolophidae
Gene: U2
Rfam family: U2 spliceosomal RNA
About the family: U2 is a small nuclear RNA (snRNA) component of the spliceosome (involved in pre-mRNA splicing). Complementary binding between U2 snRNA (in an area lying towards the 5' end but 3' to hairpin I) and the branchpoint sequence (BPS) of the intron results the bulging out of an unpaired adenosine, on the BPS, which initiates a nucleophilic attack at the intronic 5' splice site, thus starting the first of two transesterification reactions that mediate splicing.
Source: Ensembl
GUUGCUUCUUGGCCUUUAGGCUAAGAGCAAGUGCAGUAUCUGUUCUUAUUAGUUUAAUAUCUGAUACGUCCUCUAUCUGAGGAUAAUGUAGUAAAUGGAUUUUUGAAGCAGGGAGAUGGAAUAAAAGCUUGCUCUGUACACUCCACGCAUCAAGCUGGAAUUGCUCUACUUCCAGGAAGGAUGCACCCCCA